AGCUCGUGUAGUACAUGACACUGCAGUUGGGGAAUAAAGACAAAAGAAAAUAGAGAUAAACACAAAACAGAACAAGCGGUGGCGAGAGAGGGGCUAGGGUUUGAGGACUCUGUGAUUCAGUCAAUCGAUUUGAUUUACUCAAGCUAAUCACCAGGUGAGAUUUCGGUUGUGUGUGGUUGUAUGUAUAUACUCAUCUGUUGAAUUCUAUUGUUGUUGUAUUGGGGGUUUUGCUGGGCUGUAGUAUUGAUCGGCGACGAUGGUGGAGAAAGAGCCGCG
Molecule: long non-coding RNA, 276 nt
Filed under: Daucus carota (carrot)
Lineage: Eukaryota; Viridiplantae; Streptophyta; Magnoliopsida; Apiales; Apiaceae
Description: long non-coding RNA (DCAR_LNC006918)
Source: RNAcentral